UACAGAGGUCCCAAGCGUUGUUCGGAUUCAUUGGGCGUAAAGGGUGCGUAGGCGGCGCGGUAAGUCGGGUGUGAAAUCUCGGAGCUUAACUCCGAAACUGCAUUCGAUACUACCGUGCUUGAGGACUGGAGAGGAGACUGGAAUUUACGGUGUAGCGGUGAAAUGCGUAGAUAUCGUAAGGAAGACCAGUGGCGAAGGCGGGUCUCUGGACAGUUCCUGACGCUGAGGCACGAAGGUCAGGGGAGCAAACGGG
Molecule: ribosomal RNA, 253 nt
Filed under: uncultured bacterium
Lineage: Bacteria
Description: partial 16S ribosomal RNA
Rfam family: Bacterial small subunit ribosomal RNA
Source: RNAcentral